GACGAACGCUGGCGGCGUGCUUAACACAUGCAAGUCGAACGGUGAGGCGCUUUCCUUUUUGGUUGGUGUGGAGGAGUGGCGAACGGGUGAGUAACACGUGAGUAACCUGCUCCCUUCUUCUGGAUAACCGCAUGAAGGUGUGACUAAUACGGGAUAUUCUGCGCCUGCCGCUUGGUGGGUGUGGGAAGGUUUGUGCCUUUGGGAGUUUUCGGUGGGCGAUGGGCUCGCUGCCUAUCAGCGUGUUGGUGGAGUGAUGGCCUACCAACGAGGUGACGGGUAGCCGGGAUGGGAGGGUGGACGGUCACACUGGGACUGAGACACGGCCCAGACUCCUACGCGACGGAGCAGUGGGGAACAUUGCACAAGGGGCGCAAGCGUGAUGCAGCGACGCCGCGUGUGAGAGGGAGGCGUUCGGGUUGUGAACCUCUUUCGCAAGUGAAGCUGGGCUGGUCAUUGUGGGUGGGUUGACGGUAGCUGGAUAAGAAGCGCCGGCUAACUACGUG
This 503-nucleotide ribosomal RNA is filed under the name uncultured bacterium. RNAcentral's name for it is "partial 16S ribosomal RNA". It matches the Rfam family "Bacterial small subunit ribosomal RNA", at positions 28 to 507 of the family's 1533-position model. The record is from RNAcentral.